This 438-nucleotide ribosomal RNA is filed under the name Pleurotus tuber-regium. Its description in RNAcentral is "eukaryotic LSU rRNA". The stretch from base 66 to 219 matches the Rfam family "5.8S ribosomal RNA". Lineage: Eukaryota; Fungi; Basidiomycota; Agaricomycetes; Agaricales; Pleurotaceae. The record is from RNAcentral.
CACACCCUAAUUGUAUGUCAAUGAAUGUCGUUUAUCUUUGGGCCAUGUGCCUAUAAACCUAAUACAACUUUCAACAACGGAUCUCUUGGCUCUCGCAUCGAUGAAGAACGCAGCGAAAUGCGAUAAGUAAUGUGAAUUGCAGAAUUCAGUGAAUCAUCGAAUCUUUGAACGCACCUUGCGCCCCUUGGUAUUCCGAGGGGCAUGCCUGUUUGAGUGUCAUUAAAUUCUCAACCUAUAAAGGCUUUUGAAGUCAUUAUGGGCUUGGAUUGUUGGGGGCUGCUGGCUCAUUAGAGUCAGCUCUCCUUAAAUGCAUUAGCAGGACUCUAUUGCCUCUGCGCAUGGUGUGAUAAUUAUCUACACCAGUUGCAUGUAAUACUAUAAUGUGUCCAGCUCUCUAAUCGUCUUCGGACAGUUAUUGACCAUUGACCUCAAAUCAGG